GUGCUCGCUUUGGCAGCACAUAUACAAAAAUUGGAACAAUACAAAAAAGAUUAGCAUGGCCUCUGUGCAAGGAAAACACACAAAUUCAUGAAACAUUCCUUAUUAAA
This is a small nuclear RNA of Pipistrellus kuhlii (Kuhl's pipistrelle), 107 nucleotides long. The record is from RefSeq and is a predicted model, not a curated record. NCBI's taxonomy places the organism in Eukaryota, Metazoa, Chordata, Mammalia, Chiroptera, Vespertilionidae.